RNAcentral lists this ribosomal RNA (405 nucleotides) under uncultured bacterium. RNAcentral's name for it is "partial 16S ribosomal RNA". It matches the Rfam family "Bacterial small subunit ribosomal RNA", at positions 30 to 526 of the family's 1533-position model. The record is from RNAcentral.
AUUGAACGCUGGCGGCAUGCCUUACACAUGCAAGUCGAACGAGUGGCGGACGGGUGAGUAAUGUAUCGGAACGUGCCCAGUAGAGGGGGAUAACUACUCGAAAGCGUGGCUAAUACCGCAUACUAUUGGAGCGGCCGAUAUCGGAUUAGCUAGUUGGUGGGGUAAAGGCUCACCAAGGCGACGAUCCGUAGCUGGUCUGAGAGGACGACCAGCCACACUGGGACUGAGACACGGCCCAGACUCCUACGGGAGGCAGCAGUGGGGAAUAUUGGACAAUGGGGGAAACCCUGAUCCAGCCAUGCCGCGUGUAUGAGAAGGCCUUCGGGUUGUAAAGUACUUUUGGCAGAGAAGCGGUAUCUGCAGAAUAAGCACCGGCUAACUACGUGCCAGCAGCCGCGGUAAUUC